CUGGGAGUAGCAGUUCAGCAUCUGGAGGAGCACUCACUUCCCAUCCCCGGCAUAAAAACAUGAGAAACUGCAACAUGAAACAAUGGACUCGAGUUACAAGAAAACAAAUAUUCCUCUUAAACAUCAGGAAGAACAUCUUUAAAGUAGGUCACCGAAUGGCUUCUAACCUGUGAGUCUCAUCUUCCAGCACUAUCUCUUGCUUCAAUUGUCUCAUCAUAGGAUUUUCAUGGUGAAAUAAAAAUAAAAAUGCAGAAGUGGUUUACCAUAUAUCCUUAUACAUCAGCAAGUGCAUAGCUAUUUAUAAUAUCUUUGUGGCCACACCUAGAUUCUGGACUUCCUUGCCAUGAGAGGCAAAGUUGUCCUUUUCUUGGCAGGCAGAGACAUUUGUAGUCAAGCAGGUCUUUGGUAGAUGAGCUGAGCUGAUGUUGAAGGGGCUGUAACUAUUUCAGUUCUGGCAAUGGUUUGGAGGUGGGGGGGGGGGGUUGCAUGUAUCCACAGAUUUUUUUAUCUACAG
Molecule: long non-coding RNA, 514 nt
Organism: Sceloporus undulatus (fence lizard)
Lineage: Eukaryota; Metazoa; Chordata; Lepidosauria; Squamata; Phrynosomatidae
Exons: 3
Source: RefSeq, a predicted model, not a curated record